This 224-nucleotide long non-coding RNA is filed under the name Mytilus galloprovincialis (Mediterranean mussel). Lineage: Eukaryota; Metazoa; Mollusca; Bivalvia; Mytilida; Mytilidae. The record is from RNAcentral.
CAUGGAUCUACAAUCUGUCGAUACCUGUAACUUGGUAUUGCACAAGGUCAUGUUUUUCUCUGGCUGUUUAUGAUGUCUUUACACUAAAUCCAUUGGAUGUUGGAUGUGAACGGAUUGGUUGUUUAGUCUUAGAUGCAUGAUUUUUUUUUAUUAGUUGUUAGUGGCUUUGAACUAGCUGUCAGGUAACUGCGAGUACUCUCAGAUCUGUUCAAUGUGUCUUUUUG